CGUUGUCGUCAGCUCGUGUCGUGAGAUGUUGGGUUAAGUCCCGCAACGAGCGCAACCCUUACCCUUAGUUGUUUUCCCGAAAGGAUUACCCUCUAAGGGGACUGCCCCGGACAACGGGGAGGAAGGUGGGGAUGACGUCAAGUCCGCAUGCUCCUUACGUCUAGGGCUACACACGUCCUACAAUGGGGUCGACAGUGGGAUGCAAAGCCGCGAGGUGGAGCCAAUCCCCAAACGGCCUCUCAGUUCGGACAGUAGUCUGCAACUCGACUACUUGAAGUCGGAAUCGCUAGUAAUGGCGGAUCAGCAUGCCGCCGUGAAUACGUUCCCGGGCCUU
RNAcentral lists this ribosomal RNA (334 nucleotides) under uncultured bacterium. RNAcentral describes it as "bacterial SSU rRNA". It matches the Rfam family "Bacterial small subunit ribosomal RNA", at positions 1047 to 1382 of the family's 1533-position model. The record is from RNAcentral.